This 484-nucleotide ribosomal RNA is filed under the name uncultured bacterium. RNAcentral describes it as "partial 16S ribosomal RNA". It matches the Rfam family "Bacterial small subunit ribosomal RNA", at positions 30 to 507 of the family's 1533-position model. The record is from RNAcentral.
AUUGAACGCUGGCGGCAGGCCUAACACAUGCAAGUCGAGCGGAUGAAGGGAGCUUGCUCCUGGAUUCAGCGGCGGACGGGUGAGUAAUGCCUAGGAAUCUGCCUGGUAGUGGGGUCUACGGCCGGAAAGGGGGGCUAAUUCCGCAAAAGGCCCGGAGGAGGAAAGGGGGGGAUCUGGGGACCCACGGUCAUAGAUGGACCCUAGGUGGGAUUGGCUAGUUGGUGGGUUAAAGGCUUACCAAGGCGACGAUCCGAAACUGGUCUGAGAGGAUGAUCAGUCACACUGGAACUGAGACACGGUCCAGACUCCUACGGGAGGCAGCAGUGGGGAAUAUUGAACAAUGGGCGAAAGCCUGAUCCAGCCAUGCCGCGUGUGUGAAGAAGGUCUUCGGAUUGUAAAGCACUUCAAGUUGGGAGGAAGGGCAGUAAGUUAAUACCUUGCUGUUUUGACGUUACCAACAGAAUAAGCACCGGCUAACUUCGUG